RNAcentral lists this ribosomal RNA (261 nucleotides) under uncultured Staphylococcus sp. RNAcentral describes it as "partial 16S ribosomal RNA". It matches the Rfam family "Bacterial small subunit ribosomal RNA", at positions 99 to 355 of the family's 1533-position model. Lineage: Bacteria; Bacillati; Bacillota; Bacilli; Caryophanales; Staphylococcaceae. The record is from RNAcentral.
CGGACGGGUGAGUAACACGUGGAUAACCUACCUAUAAGACUGGGAUAACUUCGGGAAACCGGAGCUAAUACCGGAUAAUAUAUUGAACCGCAUGGUUCAAUGUGAAAGACGGUUUUGCUGUCACUUAUAGAUGGAUCCGCGCCGCAUUAGCUAGUUGGUAAGGUAACGGCUUACCAAGGCAACGAUGCGUAGCCGACCUGAGAGGGUGAUCGGCCACACUGGAACUGAGACACGGUCCAGACUCCUACGGGAGGCAGCAGC